UAUGCCCAAGUGCUUCGCAUGCUUGGUAAUGGCCGUUGUGAAGCCAUGUGUAUUGAUGGCUCCAAGCGUCUAUGUCACAUUCGUGGGAAGAUGCACAAGAAGGUUUGGAUUGCAGCUGGUGAUAUCAUACUUGUUGGGCUGCGUGACUACCAGGAUGACAAGGCUGAUGUUAUCUUGAAGUAUAUGCCAGAUGAAGCUAGGCUUCUAAAGGCCUAUGGUGAACUUCCUGAGAGUACACGUCUCAAUGAGGGUAUUGCUGGAGGUCUUGAUGAGGAGGAUGAUGGUGCUGGUGAUGAUUAUAUUGAGUUUGAGGAUGAAGAUAUUGAUAAGAUCUAGA
Molecule: unclassified non-coding RNA, 337 nt
Filed under: Hevea brasiliensis (rubber tree)
Lineage: Eukaryota; Viridiplantae; Streptophyta; Magnoliopsida; Malpighiales; Euphorbiaceae
Source: RNAcentral